Long non-coding RNA from Myotis myotis, 1781 nucleotides. RefSeq lists it as uncharacterized. NCBI's taxonomy places the organism in Eukaryota, Metazoa, Chordata, Mammalia, Chiroptera, Vespertilionidae. The record is from RefSeq and is a predicted model, not a curated record. The transcript has 6 exons.
CGCUCCUUCGCCCGUGUGUCCUUGCGGUGACCUGGGCCCCCGCCGCCACGCGAGAACAGGCUCGCCCCGCGGCCUAGGCUGCCCUGCCGGCGGGCGGCUGAACCCAGUGGCCACUGGCCGCCCUCCCCGCCGCCUUCCGGCCUGGAGGACUCGAGGACGCGCCCCCGGGGCCUACCUCAGCGACUUCGUGUGCGGCCACCGCGGACGGGUCAGGUGUGGACCUGCCGUAGGCGCCAAAGAGGGGUCCCAGCGCACUUCCCGCGUCCACCCGACCCCUACGGUCCCCGGGGCGUGACCGUCAUACCCCUGCUCUGACCCCAGGGGCCACCUGAUUGGGAGUGUCCGCCGCCAUCAGCGCUUUGGCGAAGGUGACAUUGAGCCACCGGACGCGCCGCUCAGUGUAGGGGCGGGGGAGGUCCCUUAGUGUACCGGCACCGCCGCCCCAGAGUCUUUCGGGAACACAAUAUGCUUCCUUGGUGGGACACAGUAUACUUUAUACUUUUUUUUAAUCAGGCAUUUUCUCGGUUGGCGUUUGUGGGUUACCUUCACAGACCGUUCUGUUAAAUUUUAGAAACUGCUCUGCCACGAUCUAAUUCUUCCACGUGUGUGGUUGUUUCCUGAGGUCGGAAAGAGGCCAUUACUGUUUCGAAAAUGGGGUACCACGGACCAGCAAUACUGGGAUCACAGAUGUGGGGAGGCUUUAUUGUUUGCUUCAGGUUAAAGCCUGUUUGUUGGAGUAUGAAAUGCUUUGCUGAUUCCUGUCUCUUAUUUUUCCUUCUCCUAAUAUAUGUGUUCCCACUGACUGCCCAGCACUAUAAUUUUAAUUAUUAUAACCACAGUUUGAUCUUGGUCCAUGAUGGAUGUAUAUGCUACAUCACUUAGCCCCUAACCAUACAUAUUUUAACAUAUAAACUCACAAACACAAAACUAAUAAGGUUUGCUUGGCUAUUUUGAGUGUUUUAAGUAGACAUUUACACACCUAAGGAAUAUGUUUCCCUUCAUUCAAUUUAAGAUUUUAUCAUUUAUCAUAGAAUGGUAAGGCUGGCAUGCACAUCAGAUCAUGGAGACCAUCUUAUAUUAUAGAAGAAGAAACCAAAGCCCAUCUUGGGGAAACUGACUCCUUAACUAGUGUUAGAAAACAAUACAAAGCUACCAGUCAUCUGAUGAAAUCCAUGCCCAGCAGUGAGGAAAAGAAUUGGUUAUCAUGAAACACUUUAUGGAUCAAAUGGUGAUUUAAGUGAGAAUCCUUUUGCUUGAUCUAGCAGUGACAUUCCAUCUGAAGAACUGGCAGAAAGAGGGAGAGAGAGGGAGAUAGAAACAUCAGUGAUGAAAAAGAGAAUCCUACAUGGACUGCCUCCUGCAUGCCACCUACUAGGGAUCGAACCCGCAACCCGGGGCGUGUGCCCGGACCAGUAAUUGAACCGCGACUUCCUGGUUCAUAAGUCAACCACUGAGCAUCUGCCCCCUGAUGGCUUUCAUUUUUAAUCAUCAUAAUCUGAUAAGAGGCUGUUUAGAAAGAUUCUACAUUUCCUAACUCCUAAUUCAGUGUCCGUUUGAAAGGCAGUAACUAAAAUGGAAAGGCUUUUCAUAUGUACUACAAAGGGUAUAAUGAUUGGGAGCAGAAUGCUAAACAUUUUGGAAGUGUCCAGUGGGUCCUCAGGUUACGUUGGAGAUCUGUUCCUACGGCGUGAUGUAACACGAUUUUCGCCAUAAGUCGGAACCCACCUACAUAAGCACCUACGUCACUCACAUGGAGCACAUACACAGCAGUAAUGAAGUGA